RNAcentral lists this ribosomal RNA (336 nucleotides) under Triticum aestivum (bread wheat). RNAcentral's name for it is "partial small subunit ribosomal RNA". Lineage: Eukaryota; Viridiplantae; Streptophyta; Magnoliopsida; Poales; Poaceae. The record is from RNAcentral.
GUUCUUGGCACUGAUAGAUGUCCGUCGAACUACUGGCAAUACUUUGUGUGGUGCUACGAAUUCCUUCCUGGGAAGCAAAAGUUUUAUACAAUGGGCUUAGCGGCCGUAUGUUGGGCCAUUUGGCUGGCACGCAAUCGAGCUACUUUUGAAAAGAAACAAAUCAAGACUCCUUUUGAGAUUGUGUUUUCUCUAUGCUCUUUUCUACUUUACUGGACAGGGCUACAACAAGGAGAGGACGCCAAGGAGCUUCACACUGGAUCUGAGAUGAUCAGGACUGGCACAAUGCAGCUGAUGAAGAUGUGUGGUGCUGCCAAGCAACCAAUCCAAGGUGCUUGA